AGAUCACAUCACAUAUGGGUGGUUUAAUUUGGUCAGUCAAUUAAAAACUCCUGAAUGGAUGAAGUUAGAUUGUGUAUAGAAAUAUGGGCAAUAUCAAGGCAACCCAAACAACAUGAAGUCUGGCUUUCUCAAAAGAAAGAAGGGGACACUGCAAGGUCAUGAAACCUAAUGCCUGGGAUGUCAUCUCUGCUUGAUUGGUGUCUUGGUAACUGGACAGUUUUGGAGGGGAAAAGAUGAAAAACAUGCUUGGCUCAUCAAUCCCUGAUGCAUUAAUGUCAUCUCAGUGUCCCCAUGUGAAAGAAAAAGUAACUUUCUGCCUUGACUUCAGCAGCAGGUUUUUACCUGAAGGU
RNAcentral lists this long non-coding RNA (350 nucleotides) under Cyanistes caeruleus (blue tit). Its description in RNAcentral is "lncRNA (ENSCCEG00000011909.1)". The record is from RNAcentral. Lineage: Eukaryota; Metazoa; Chordata; Aves; Passeriformes; Paridae.